UUUCAACAACGGAUCUCUAGGCUCUUGCAUCGAUGAAGAACGCAGUGAAAUGCGAUAAGUAAUGUGAAUUGCAGAAUCUCGUGAAUCAUUGAAUCUUUGAACGCACAUUGCGCCCUAUGGUAUUCCAUUGGGCAUGCCUGUCUGAGCGUCAGCUC
This 155-nucleotide ribosomal RNA is filed under the name Terfezia boudieri. RNAcentral's name for it is "5.8S ribosomal RNA". It matches the Rfam family "5.8S ribosomal RNA". Rfam says of the family: 5.8S ribosomal RNA (5.8S rRNA) is a component of the large subunit of the eukaryotic ribosome. It is transcribed by RNA polymerase I as part of the 45S precursor that also contains 18S and 28S rRNA. Functionally, it is thought that 5.8S rRNA may be involved in ribosome translocation. The record is from RNAcentral. Lineage: Eukaryota; Fungi; Ascomycota; Pezizomycetes; Pezizales; Pezizaceae.